This 1543-nucleotide long non-coding RNA is filed under the name Homo sapiens (human). RNAcentral describes it as "HSALNT0256006". The record is from RNAcentral. Lineage: Eukaryota; Metazoa; Chordata; Mammalia; Primates; Hominidae.
CCGAGCACCCGCCCCCGUCACGUGGCAAGUCUGCGUGGAAAGGACAGUUACAGACGUUCCACGUUCCGUCUCCCUGUGCCAGCCCUCAGGACCUGAGCAGCGGCCUUGCCGUAGCCUAUGUGCUGAACCAGAUAGACCCCUCCUGGUUCAACGAGGCAUGGCUCCAGGGCAUCUCGGAAGAUCCAGGUCCCAACUGGAAGCUGAAGGUGACAAGUGGACUCCUGAUUAGAGGACAGACUGGUGAAGAGAUGACCAGGGACGGGCCAGCUAGGCACAUGUCCUGGGUGAUGGGCAGGAAGAGGGACAGAUGUCUGGUGAUCAACCAUUUGUUCAUCCAUUCAUCUAUGGAGUACUCACCCUGUGCCAGGCCUGGGCAUUCAGCAAGGAAUAACACAGACAAAAACCUGCCCCACACAGCCAUCAUUCUAGUGACAAGCAACACAUACACAACCAUAAAAAUUAACUUCCAGGCUGGGCGCAGUGGCUCAUGCCUGUAAUCCCAACACUUUGAGAGGCUAAAGUGGGUGGAUCACCUGGGGCCAGGAGUUCAAGACCAGCCUGGCCAACAAGUUGAAACCCCAUCUCUACUAAAAAUACAAAAAUUAGCUGGGUGGGGUGGUGUGCACCUGUAAUCCCAGUUACUUGGGAGGCUGAGACAUGAGAAUCACUUGAACCUGGGAGGUGGAGGAUGCAGUGAGCUGAGAUUGAGCCAUUGCACUCCAGCCUGGGCAACAGAGCGAGACUCUUGUCUCAAGAAGAAGAAAAAAAGAAAAAGAAAAAGAAAAAGAAAAAACUUUUGAUGCCAGUAGUUCUGUGAAGACAACAAAAAAGCAGGGCUUUGAGAGAGAGCAAUGAGGGCAUAGGUGGCUGAUUACAUCAGAUGGGUUAAUCUCCAAGUGAAAUUUGGGGGAACGGUGUUCCAGGCAUAGGGAAUAGCAGAUGUAAAGGCCGUGAUUUGGGAAUAAACUUGGUGUGAUGGAGGAAUGGCAGAGAGGGCAGAACAGAGCAAGAGGGCAAGAUUUGUAGGAGAUGAGGUCAUCAGGGGCCUGGCAGGCCAUGGUGGGGGUGUGGAUUCUAUUUUUAAGUGCUGUGGAAAGUCAAGGCAGGGUUUUAGCAGAGCAAAGAUGCAACCUGGCUUGGGCUUUAUAAAGCUCCCCCUGGCUGCAUGGAGAGAAAUAAAAUGUAGGCAGCAAAAGUGGAAGAGGAGAGGCAGCUGGUGCACUAAUCCAGGUGAGAGGUAAAGAUGGAUGGGUAGGGCUGAAGGAUGGUGGGGCAGGUGGUGAGAAGUGACUUGGUUCUGGAGACAUAUGAAGGAAGAUGGUCAGGCAGGCCGGGCACAGUGGCUCAUGCCUGUAAUCCCAGCAAUUUUAGAGGCUGAGGUGGGAGGAUUGCUUGAGCUCAGGAGCUUGAGACCAGCCUGGGCUACAUAGCAAAACCUCCUCUCUACAAAUAAAAAAAAGUAGUCGAUUGUGGUGGCAUAUGCCUGUAGUCCCAGCUACUGGGAGGCAGAGAUAGGAGGAUUGCUUGACCCCAGGAGGUCGAG